CAGAUCAGCUGUGGCAUGAGGUCUACAGCCCUGACGCAGGUGUAACCAUCCGUGUGGCUCUGACACUCCUACACUAGAAUGCUUCUUGGAUUUGCCGUAAAACAGACUAAAAGAAUGACAGGUGAAUUGGCUCCUUCCGGUGGGUUCUCACUCUGGCUGACUUCAAGAAUUAAGCCGGGGAUCUUCUCGUGAGGAGCCCUCCGGACCUGCUCCAUAGCGACGGCAGGACCUGCCUCCCAGCAGAGCAGAGAUGAGCUAGUCAGGAGCAGGAGAAAUGAUCUUCAGACUCUGGGGCCCAGCAUUCCCCAGGUUUCCUGCAGGUCUCAAAAUCUAUCUUGAACAAACUUGCUUACAUCAUUUAUUUUUAAAUAAAAAAGAACCACUAUUGGGAGAAGGUAGUGCUUGAUUUUUUCUUCUUGGCAGAGUUCAUUCCAUAGCCUGCA
This 443-nucleotide long non-coding RNA is filed under the name Pan troglodytes (chimpanzee). Its description in RNAcentral is "lincRNA". Lineage: Eukaryota; Metazoa; Chordata; Mammalia; Primates; Hominidae. The record is from RNAcentral.